Molecule: ribosomal RNA, 364 nt
Filed under: uncultured bacterium
Lineage: Bacteria
Description: bacterial SSU rRNA
Rfam family: Bacterial small subunit ribosomal RNA
Source: RNAcentral
AACAAACGCUGGCGGCAGGCCUAACACAUGCAAGUCGAACGCCCGUAGCAAUACGGGAGUGGCAGACGGGUGAGUAACGCGUGGGAACGUGCCCUUCGGUUCGGAAUAACUCAGGGAAACUUGAGCUAAUACCGGAUACGUCCGUAAGGAGAAAGAUUUAUCGCCGAAGGAUCGGCCCGCGUCGGAUUAGCUAGUUGGUGAGGUAACGGCCCACCAAGGCGACGAUCCGUAGCUGGUCUGAGAGGANGAUCAGCCACACUGGGACUGAGACACGGCCCAGACUCCUACGGGAGGCAGCAGUGGGGAAUCUUGGACAAUGGGCGCAAGCCUGAUCCAGCCAUGCCGCGUGGGUGAAGAAGGCCUU